This 217-nucleotide ribosomal RNA is filed under the name uncultured Gammaproteobacteria bacterium. Its description in RNAcentral is "partial 16S ribosomal RNA". It matches the Rfam family "Bacterial small subunit ribosomal RNA", at positions 325 to 532 of the family's 1533-position model. Lineage: Bacteria; Pseudomonadati; Pseudomonadota; Gammaproteobacteria. The record is from RNAcentral.
UCUAGAGAUUACUCCUACGGGAGGCAGCAGUGGGGAAUAUUGCACAAUGGGGGAAACCCUGAUGCAGCCAUGCCGCGUGUGUGAAGAAGGCCUUCGGGUUGUAAAGCACUUUCAGUAGGGAGGAAGGGUUGAUGUCUAAUACGCAUCAACAUUGACGUUACCUACAGAAGAAGCACCGGCUAACUCCGUGCCAGCAGCCGCGGUAAUAAUCGUCGAC